GUGUCAGCCGCCGCGGUAAUACGGAGGGUGCAAGCGUUAUCCGGAUUCAUUGGGUUUAAAGGGUGCGCAGGCGGAUACUUAAGUCAGUGGUGAAAUCCCGGGGCUCAACCCCGGAACUGCCAUUGAUACUGAAUAUCUGGAAUACGGUUGAAGUGGGCGGAAUGUAGCAUGUAGCGGUGAAAUGCAUAGAGAUGCUACAGAACACCGAUCGCGAAGGCAGCUCACUAAGCCGAUAUUGACGCUCAGGCACGAAAGCGUGGGGAGCGAACAGGAUUAGAUACCCUGGUAGUCCACGCCGUAAACGAUGAUAACUCGUUGUUGGCGACACACAGUCAGCGACUAAGCGAAAGCGAUAAGUUAUCCACCUGGGGAGUACGAUCGCAAGGUUGAAACUUAAAUGAAUUGACGG
RNAcentral lists this ribosomal RNA (409 nucleotides) under uncultured bacterium. RNAcentral's name for it is "bacterial SSU rRNA". It matches the Rfam family "Bacterial small subunit ribosomal RNA", at positions 505 to 916 of the family's 1533-position model. The record is from RNAcentral.